RNAcentral lists this ribosomal RNA (253 nucleotides) under uncultured bacterium. RNAcentral's name for it is "partial 16S ribosomal RNA". It matches the Rfam family "Bacterial small subunit ribosomal RNA", at positions 524 to 776 of the family's 1533-position model. The record is from RNAcentral.
UACGUAGGUGGCAAGCGUUGUCCGGAUUUAUUGGGUUUAAAGGGCGCGUAGGCGGGGUCGUAAGUCUGUGGUGAAAUCCGUCGGCUCAACCGGCGAAUGGCCGUGGAUACUGCGACCCUCGAGGGGUGUAGGGGCAUGCGGAACUCAGGGUGGAGCGGUGAAAUGCGUAGAGAUCCUGAGGAACGCCGGUGGCGAAAGCGGCGUGCUGGACACCUUCUGACGCUGAGGCGCGAAAGCCAGGGGAGCAAACGGG